This 91-nucleotide microRNA precursor is filed under the name Glycine max (soybean). RNAcentral describes it as "miR160c stem-loop (gma-MIR160c)". Its record names the gene gma-MIR160c. It matches the Rfam family "mir-160 microRNA precursor family". Rfam says of the family: The hairpin precursors (represented here) are predicted based on base pairing and cross-species conservation -- their extents are not known. In this case the mature sequence is excised from the 5' arm of the hairpin. Lineage: Eukaryota; Viridiplantae; Streptophyta; Magnoliopsida; Fabales; Fabaceae. The record is from miRBase by way of RNAcentral.
UGCCUGGCUCCCUGUAUGCCAUUUGCAGAGCCCAUCAGGACAGUGAUGGCCUUAACGAAUGGCGUGCGAGGAGCCAUGCAUGUUGUGCGUU